RNAcentral lists this long non-coding RNA (433 nucleotides) under Ananas comosus (pineapple). Its description in RNAcentral is "long non-coding RNA (ACOM_LNC043458)". The record is from RNAcentral. Lineage: Eukaryota; Viridiplantae; Streptophyta; Magnoliopsida; Poales; Bromeliaceae.
UCUCGGGGACCGGCCCCAAGUCGGGGAGACCGGUCCCUCCGCGCAAAUUCUGCCCAGUGAAGGCAGGUUGAGAGAUGAAAAGUUGAGGGGCUAAACUGGAUUUUCUUAUAUUAGAGGGGCUUAUGAGCCCACUCCCUCUCUCAUUCUCUCAUUUCUCUCUUUCCCUCUCUCACACUCUCUUACUCUCCCUCUCUCUCUCUAGAAAGAGAAGAAGAACAAGGAGAACAGGAAGGAGAGGAAGGAAAAGGAGAAGAAGAAAAGGAAGAAGGAGAAUGUGGAGAUCAAGGAGAAGGCUUUAAAUAUCUUCCUCUCCCUCUCCUCUUCCCAUUGGUGUAGCUCAAGAGGUAAGCUACUAAACCCUAGCUUUGUAAACUUAGGGUUUUGGGUUUUGAUGCUUUGGAAUAGGUCAAAUAGACCCUAAGCAUGCUUCUAA